CUUCCUAGUACCCACUUUCAGCCUGGACUCUUCCCCACUCCUAGCACAUACGGGGGCGGAGAUCUAUCAGGGAUGGUCCUUACCCUCCGUCCUGUUCCCUCAACCCGCUUCCUCGGUUUCUGUUUUUGUCCUUUUAAGGCCUGGGAUCCAACCGUGAUCUGAGACAGGGCUGGAGAAAGAAAAGCUGGGUAACUGAACUCAGGUCUGACCCUUGACCCUACUGGUCUUCCUCCUCCUACAGAUUCCUUUUGGCUCUUCAAAAGUCUGGAAUGGUGGCCCCAAGCCAGCAGCCUGGAGGUCACUCAUCGUGGUUCUGACUCUCUGGGCUCCUGAGAGAGAAUGCACAGAAGGGACCAGCACCCCCACCCCACGCCCCGGCAGGCUUAGUUCAUGCUCAGAGAGGUCUCAGGAUGCCUGCUGCCAAGCUGUGUGUGCCAGAGCAGAUGUGAGGUCUGGCUCUGGACAAGUGAGCCAAAGACAGAUGAGCACAAUGUGCUUCCCCAUGACCAGGAGUGGGCCUGUUUCCCGUGGAAGAUCUGAGCAAGAAGUCAGUAUUGGAGGAAUGCCCGCACAGGUUCCCUCCUCAAUUCACUUUACGCCAAAGGAUAAAGCAAGCUUUUCAAGCAACACCACCAAUAAAGAAUCUCCCAGGGUCUUCCAGUGGGUCCUCCCGUGGCCCUGACCCCCUGCCUUGUGAGAGGGAGCAGGUGUGGAUCGUGGAGGGGAACACAGACAACGAGAGACUCGGAGGGCAUAAAAGCACAGUGGGCACCUUUAAUAUGUGA
RNAcentral lists this long non-coding RNA (785 nucleotides) under Felis catus (domestic cat). RNAcentral describes it as "lncRNA (ENSFCAG00000051855.1)". The record is from RNAcentral. Lineage: Eukaryota; Metazoa; Chordata; Mammalia; Carnivora; Felidae.